RNAcentral lists this unclassified non-coding RNA (331 nucleotides) under uncultured fungus. RNAcentral describes it as "partial contains small subunit ribosomal RNA, internal transcribed spacer 1, and 5.8S ribosomal RNA". The stretch from base 1 to 73 matches the Rfam family "Eukaryotic small subunit ribosomal RNA", at positions 1759 to 1831 of the family's 1831-position model. The record is from RNAcentral. Lineage: Eukaryota; Fungi.
GCAAACUUGGUCAUUUAGAGGAAGUAAAAGUCGUAACAAGGUUUCUGUAGGUGAACCUGCAGAAGGAUCAUUAGUGAAAGCAAGAGGCCUGCCAUACGGACGCGCUACUCGCGCAGUCUCUGGCGCCUCAACCCUUUACACAAACAUCCAAACCCGUGUGCACCUGUAGUCUGUUGGGCUUGAGCAAUCGAGCCGGGCAGCUACGCAAAUUUAAACCAAACUCGUAUGGUUGUAUGAACGUGUAAAUCGUUGGACCGUAACUGGCCAGCAAACAAACAAUACAACUUUCGACAACGGAUCUCUUGGUUCUCCCAUCGAUGAAGAACGCAGC